AAACUUUACAAUGCUGGCAACAGCGAUAAGGGAACCUCGAGUGCCAGGUUACAAAUCUGGCUGUCGAGAUGCCUAAAAAGCAUUUCAUAGCAAGGGCCGGGCAAGACCGGUGCCAGCCGCCGCGGUAAUACCGGCGGCUCGAGUGGUGGCCGCUAUUACUGGGCUUAAAGGGUCCGUAGCUGGAUAUACAAGUCCCUUGAGAAAUCCGCCGGCUUAACCGGUGGGCGUUCAGGGGAAACUGUAUUUCUAGGGACCGGGAGAGGUGAGAGGUACUGCCGGGGUAGGAGUGAAAUCCUGUAAUCCCGGUGGGACCACCUAUGGCGAAGGCAUCUCACCAGAACGGGUCCGACAGUGAGGGACGAAAGCUGGGGGAGCAAACCGG
RNAcentral lists this ribosomal RNA (382 nucleotides) under uncultured archaeon. RNAcentral's name for it is "bacterial SSU rRNA". It matches the Rfam family "Archaeal small subunit ribosomal RNA", at positions 345 to 727 of the family's 1478-position model. The record is from RNAcentral.